Molecule: RNase P RNA, 346 nt
Filed under: Clostridiales bacterium
Lineage: Bacteria; Bacillati; Bacillota; Clostridia; Eubacteriales
Description: RNase P RNA component class A
Rfam family: Bacterial RNase P class A
About the family: Ribonuclease P (RNase P) is a ubiquitous endoribonuclease, found in archaea, bacteria and eukarya as well as chloroplasts and mitochondria. Its best characterised activity is the generation of mature 5'-ends of tRNAs by cleaving the 5'-leader elements of precursor-tRNAs.
Source: RNAcentral
CGAGUAAGCUGAAUGAUCGCAUCUACCAAAUGGUAGAUGAGGAAAGUCCGAGCUCCAUAGGGCAGGGUGCUGGGUAACUCCCAGUGGAGGCGACUCCAAGGAUAGUGCAACAGAAAGAUACCGCCUGCAUUUUGCAGGUAAGGGUGGAAAGGUGAGGUAAGAGCUCACCAGCAUCCAGGCGACUGGAUAGGCUAUGUAAACCCCACCUGGAGCAAGACCGAAUGGUGAUAUAAAAAAGUGGUUGCCCGCCACAUCUAGGUAAAGGUCGCUAGAGCCUACUGGCAACAGUAGUGCGUAGAUAGAUGAUCAUUCUCGACAGAACUCGGCUUACAGGUUUACUCGUCAC